This is a long non-coding RNA of Heterocephalus glaber (naked mole-rat), 1690 nucleotides long. The record is from Ensembl. NCBI's taxonomy places the organism in Eukaryota, Metazoa, Chordata, Mammalia, Rodentia, Bathyergidae.
CGCGCCCCCGCCCUCCUUAAAGGGACAGCACCUUCGCGCCGCCAGCUUCCCGCGGGGUUGGGGUUGUCUCUUUGUACACGGGGAGAUUGAGGGACACAAGUGGCGGGGACCUGCCUCGCCUUCAGGUGGGCCCGGAAAGGCGAGAACUGGAACUCUGGAUUUGCAGUUUGCUGAGCAGAUGACUAGGACGGAGAUAAAAGAGUCAACAUUUUGGGGCCAACGGCACAACUGAAAAUCCCAGAAAAGUGUGGACUUUCCAGGAAAAGGCAUUUUUGAACACCAGUCUGCACAUGAUUUCGGAUUUAUGGACAAAGGGAUCUUAUUUAUAAAGCCAUACCCAUGAACUCCCACCUUAGUCACAGAGAUACCAUCCCACAAAUAAUUGCCUUACUAGAAGAGUAAAGUACUCCUUGCCCAAAUAUUGAAGGACAGCUUUUACCUUAUUCUGCCUGUUUUUCUCUUGAGUUACAGGCACUAAAUAGUAUGUUGUAUGGUAUAUAUUACAUAGAAACAUGUUAAGAGAGUCAUGGAAGGACCUAGGCUUUCUCAAGGUACAAGGCCAAGGCCUCAGACCUUAGCCCUAAUUAUAUUUCAGGAGGAUUUGUAGAUUCCACACUAGGUCUAUUAUAAUUUUCAUCAAUUUUGAUUAAACUGAGGAGUUGGUUUUACAAAUGUUCAUGCUCAUAGAACUCAAAAUCCGAGAAGCUGGCCCAUUUGUCUGACACACUGACACCCACUGGUCCAUCAUACCCACUGUCCUCACUGUGAGCCAGAGGAAAAGUUCAUACACUUGCCCAGUCCUGAAAUACGAGCUCUGACCAACCUCUAACCCACCCUCCCACCAAAACCAGGAUUUCUCCCACAGUAUCCUCAACACCUGAACAUCCACUUCAGCUUUAAAAUCUCCAAGGAGCUCAUUACUGCAGCUGUCAGCCUCCUCUACCUGUGAGGAACCUCUUCUUUUACAGAGGACAAAUCAGGUACCCAGUAAUUUUCAUCCAUUGGGCCUAGCUUUGUCACUGGGGGAACAAGACAGAUAUGACACCCGCUUGAGGCGCUCUUGGUCCAGCAAAGAAAAGUCCUUUGAUGAGUGGUAACGGUAAAAUGGGAUGAGUCCUGAGCAGACAGUAGAAUACGUUCCCGGGGACGCCUUUCUCCUGGUAAGUCCGAACCUGUUCCAGGCCGGUAUGAGAAUUCGUAAGUAAGCUCUACUCUAUUACCCCAAGUGGGGAAGCUGGCUCCUAAAAGACCUUACAGGAAGUCCUGAAUUUCUUCCUCUACAGUCCUUUCUUCAUCAUUCUGCAUAAGUGCAACCACAUUUCAAUGGAGGUCAAAAUUCUAAAGUUUCGUGUUGCAAAAAUAAGCAGAAGGACACCAAAAAAGAUGUUUACACAAGAGCACUGGCUUCUCAGGGAUGAUGCAGUCACUGUGACUGGCCAGCACCUCUGGGUCCUUAAGAUGUGCCAGGUGCUACAUUAAGCCUUGACUUGCAUUUCUUCCUUUGUUCUUCACAGCUGUCCCAUAAGGUACCAUUCUCACGUCCUCUUUAGAAAUGAGUGCAAGGCUCAGUGUGUGACAGAUCCAGGAUGUGAACCCGAUCCGUGAACUCCACAGCCUGUUUCUCCAUUUAUACUGUUUCCUCUGUCUACUUUCUUCACUUUCAAAAGAGCCUGUUGCUUUCCAUAAAUGC